GUUUUUAUAGUUUAAAUUACCCCAAAACAUUGGUCUUGUAAACCAAUAAUGAAUUGAUUUCUAAAAACU
This 69-nucleotide transfer RNA is filed under the name Chasmagnathus convexus. RNAcentral describes it as "tRNA-Thr". It matches the Rfam family "tRNA". From Rfam's summary of the family: Transfer RNA (tRNA) molecules are approximately 80 nucleotides in length. Their secondary structure includes four short double-helical elements and three loops (D, anti-codon, and T loops). Lineage: Eukaryota; Metazoa; Arthropoda; Malacostraca; Decapoda; Varunidae. The record is from RNAcentral.